This 634-nucleotide long non-coding RNA is filed under the name Lathyrus oleraceus (garden pea). RNAcentral describes it as "Pisum sativum (pea) long non-coding RNA (PSAT_LNC013548)". Lineage: Eukaryota; Viridiplantae; Streptophyta; Magnoliopsida; Fabales; Fabaceae. The record is from RNAcentral.
ACUAGAACAGUUAUAACGAGAUGUUUAUCAAAAGACCUUAUGACUUAUCCCAAAAAUAUAUCAAAAUAUCAAAUUGCACUGCCACUGUUGCACAUGUUAGAAAACAUCAGCAUCAUUCACUAAUCCAGUAUCCCUAUUGAGUUUGCCAUUUAGGUUGGAAAGGAAUAUUUGGACUUGUAAAGGAAAGUGAUAUAGUCAUACAUUUAAUCAUUCUUUGGGACAAGAUUAUUUGCUAGGCCUGUCUUUGAGGUUAGGGGCAUGGGUUCUACCAAAGUGAACACUGGCCCUUAGUCGUGAACAGAAAACCAUAUUGCUCUGCCUUGGCUUAGUAUGGUUUCUGUUGGUGAGUGACGUUACUAUUAGAUUUCACAUAGGAGAAAAAGAAAUUAAAAAUAAAAGAAUACAACCAUUAUUUCAUGGGAAAGAAGACUAGUAUAAGUUACCUGAGAUUUUGAAGUUACUUGUUGCACAACCUUUUUGGAACCCUUGGUCACUGUUUGCUGGCUACCCAAGUCAGCAAGAAUACUAUCCAGAGACCAAAGAAGAAAGAAACUGAGUGCCUCAGGAGAUCGAUGAUUUAUCCAGUCAGCUGAUGUCUUGUAUACAGCUUCAGAUAUGUGAGAAAGUGGCACCU